This 213-nucleotide unclassified non-coding RNA is filed under the name Hevea brasiliensis (rubber tree). Lineage: Eukaryota; Viridiplantae; Streptophyta; Magnoliopsida; Malpighiales; Euphorbiaceae. The record is from RNAcentral.
GUUUUAUUAAUUAUUUAUUUGUGUCAUAUUUUUUCUUAGUGGAACUCAUCAUCCAUAUUAUCAAUAAUUUGGUAUUUUUAUUAGCACAAGAAAACACUACAUCACUUUGAAAAUCCUUUAUUUUUUGGCCUGACGUAAUGGAAAUAAUCAUAAUUUUGCGAUAGCCAUUCAAAUGUUGUGUAAGAUAAAACCAGUGAUCUAAUUUGAAAAGAA